Long non-coding RNA from Ailuropoda melanoleuca (giant panda), 1289 nucleotides. RefSeq lists it as uncharacterized. The record is from RefSeq and is a predicted model, not a curated record. Lineage: Eukaryota; Metazoa; Chordata; Mammalia; Carnivora; Ursidae. The transcript has 4 exons.
GUACUGGCUGUGGGCAAAGCAGGGAGGGGACCUGGUCAUUCACCCCCAAGCCUCUGAGGCUCCCCUGCCGCCUGGACAAGUUUCCCCUCCCUGGGGAACUCCUACUCAUUCUGCAAAACCCACUGAAAAUGGCCCCUCCUCUGGGCAGCCUUCCCUGGUCCCCAUCAGGUAGGUGUUCACUUACUCCUCAGUCUCAUUUUUGAUCCCCAACCACUCGUUGAUCUUCUUCUGCCGGGCGCCUUUCUGGGUAAGCCACCUGCAGGAAGAGGAAAGGUGGGCUUGUUCCGCUCUGCUGGUAGGGGAGCCCAAGCUGUAGCACAGGCCGGCCAGCACCCGGUGGGCCAGCGCGGCGUGGCUGGAGACAAGGUGGGGAACCUCCUAGGGCCUGUUCUCGGCGCAAUGACACCAGCUGCCACAAGGGGUCAGCCUGGGCUUGCUCAAGGAAAGCUUGAACCUGGGAUCUUCCAGGGCGCCCCCUACUUAUUCUUACGUGUCUGUGAACUCUUACUGAACCCCCAGAAUGCGCCAUUCCAGCAAGGUCUUAUCACUACCGGAGGCUGAGACCUGAGGGCUGCACGGCAGUGUGCCUUCACACAGCGCAGCGGUUUCAUACCUCAGUUUCCCUCAGCUGUUAAGGGGCAACAUUACGAAGAACGUUGAGAAGACAGACUGAGCUCAUGUGUAAAGGGGACUCAGCGCAGUGCCUGGCACACAGCAGGAACGUAACCUGCCAACAGGCUCCUACAAACUCAGAACUAUUAACGGGGAAACCGAGACUCGGGCCCGACGCCACUUCCGAGAUCCUGAUGUUCAUAACCAAUCCCAGACAGCUGUCUUGUCCACUCAGAGCCUCAGUGGAUCCAUCAGGUUAUCAGCUAGCACUUUGAAUAACAUCCAGGUUGAAGGGCAGACACAGACCCACAGCCCCAGAUUACAGUUCCAGACGGGGAAAGUGAGGCCCAGGGAGACACCUCGGCAGCCCCGGGCACUACAUGGCUGCUCUGUGACCUGUAAGCAGACGUCUGCGCCCAGGGCCUCGCCACUGCUCCUCUGCGCCUGUGGUACCUGGGAGGUGCGGGUGUACUCCUCAUACAGCUGGUCAUACUCGCGGCUCUUGUCCUGGUACUGCUGGUGAUAGACUUUGAGCUGGGCACCCACCGCCUCCACGCUGUCCUCCUUGACGAUCUGGUCCUGGGGACAGCCGGUGUGAUCAGAGAAGCUGCCCAGGACACUUAAGCCCGAGGCUGGCACCGCCCUCCCUGGCUGCCACCCCGGCCACAGACCUGCUG